AAAUUGAAGAGUUUGAUCCUGGCUCAGAACGAACGCUGGCGGCGUGGCUAAGACAUGCAAGUCGAACGGUCUUUAGUUGAGAGUAAUCGAUUCUAAAGAUAGUGGCGAAAGGAUGAGUAACGGAUAGGUAACCUGCCUUGUGCUCUGGGAUAGCGUCUGAAUGUUUACAUUCUUCCGAAAGGGGCGGUAAUACCGGAUAAUGUAGUAUAUUUAAUGUAUAUUACCAAAGAUUUAUCAGCACAUGAGGGGCCUAUUCCCUAUCAGCUAGUUGGUGAGGUAACGGCUCACCAAGGCGACGACGGGUAGCGGGACUGAGAGGUUGACCCGCCAUAUCGGGACUGAGACACUGCCCGGACCUCCACGGAGGGCUGCAGUAACGAAUAUUGGGCAAUGGGCGAAAGCCUGACCCAGCGACGCCGCGUGCAGGACGAAGCCCCUCGGGGUGUAAACUGCUGUCAGGGAUAAGUAAGACUGGUUUACCAGUUUGAACUGCCCCAGAGGAAGUCACGGCUAACUUCGUGCCAGCAGCCGCGGUAAUACGAAGGUGGCAAGCGUUGUUCAGAAUCACUGGGCUUAAAGCGUGCGUAGGCUGACAUUCAGGUGUCCUUUGAAAUCCCCCUGCUCAACAGGGGAAUUGGGGGGCAAACCGGAUGUCUUGAGGCCGGUAGGGGUGCCUGGAACUCUUGGUGGAGCGGUGGAAUGCGUAGAUAUCAAGAGGAACGCCAGAGGAGAAAUCGGGGCACUGGGCCGGACCUGACGCUGAGGUACGAAAGCAUGGGUAGCGAACGGGAUUAGAUACCCCGGUAGUCCAUGCCGUAAACGAUGUGUACUAGACUGUUGUCAAUCUGACUUGAUGGCAGUCGCAGCAAAAGUGUUAAGUACACCGCCUGGGGAGUACGGUCGCAAGGCUAAAACUCAAAGGAAUUGACGGGGGCUCACACAAGCGGUGGAGCAUGUGGAUUAAUUCGAAGCAACGCGCAGAACCUUACCUGGGUUUGACAUGUUUGUAUGCCAUUGUGGAAACACUCUAAGGCUGCCCUUCGGGGUGAAACUUACACAGGUGCUGCAUGGCCGUCGUCAGCUCGUGUCGUGAGAUGUUGGGUUAAGUCCUUAAACGAGCGAAACCCUUGCCGUUAGUUACCAUCAGGUUAUGCUGGGGACUCUAACGGGACUGCCGGUGUUAAACCGGAGGAAGGUGGGGAUGACGUCAGGUCCUCAUGGCCUUUAUGCCCAGGGCUUCACACGUGCUACAAUGGGCUGUACAGAGCGAAGCAAGACCGCGAGGUGGAGCAAAUCGCACAAAGCAGUCCUCAGUUCGGAUUGCAGGCUGACAACUCGCCUGCAUGAAGUUGGAAUCGCUAGUAAUCGCGUAUCAGCUAUGACGCGGUGAAUGUGUUCCUGAGCCUUGUACACACCGCCCGUCAAGUCACGGAAAUCGGGAGCACCCGAAGUAGGCUUGCUAACCCGCUUGCGGGAAGCGGCUUCCUACGGUGAACUCGGUAACUGGGACUAAGUCGUAACAAGGUAGCCGUAGGGGAACCUGCGGCUGGAUCACCUCCUUU
Phycisphaerae bacterium is the source of this 1562-nucleotide ribosomal RNA. It matches the Rfam family "Bacterial small subunit ribosomal RNA". The record is from Rfam. Lineage: Bacteria; Pseudomonadati; Planctomycetota; Phycisphaerae.